ACAUUGGUGGUUCAGUGGUAUAAUUCUCACCUUCCAUAUGGGACACCCGGGUUUGAUUCCCAGCCAAUGUA
This 71-nucleotide transfer RNA is filed under the name Loxodonta africana (African savanna elephant). It matches the Rfam family "tRNA". Rfam says of the family: Transfer RNA (tRNA) molecules are approximately 80 nucleotides in length. Their secondary structure includes four short double-helical elements and three loops (D, anti-codon, and T loops). Further hydrogen bonds mediate the characteristic L-shaped molecular structure. tRNAs have two regions of fundamental functional importance: the anti-codon, which is responsible for specific mRNA codon recognition, and the 3' end, to which the tRNAs corresponding amino acid is attached (by aminoacyl-tRNA synthetases). tRNAs cope with the degeneracy of the genetic code in two manners: having more than one tRNA (with a specific anti-codon) for a particular amino acid; and 'wobble' base-pairing, i.e. permitting non-standard base-pairing at the 3rd anti-codon position. Lineage: Eukaryota; Metazoa; Chordata; Mammalia; Proboscidea; Elephantidae. The record is from Rfam by way of RNAcentral.